AGUGAAUAAGUCUCACAAGAUCUGAAGGUUAUAUAAAGAGAAGUUCCCUACACCACUUCUGUCUUUGCCUGCUGCCAUCCACGUGAUAUGUGACUUGCUGCUCCUUGCCUUCUGCCAUAAUUGUGAGGCCUCCUCAGCCACACGGAAAUGCUUAUAGGCAUAAGAGACUUGCCUUGUCUCAGAUGAAACUUUGGACUGUGGACUUUUGAGUUAAUGCUGAUAUUAGGACUCUGCUUACCCUUUGUGAAUAAGCCCAGUGAAUCUGCUGAGUGAUGAGAGAGAGAGUGGGCCAGUCACUUCAUUGCUCCAGGUGGUUAUGUUGAAGAUGUAAAUAUUCUCCCUGCUGUGAGUAUUACUGCAGCUGCCCAAAGAUGCUUUAUUUUAAAGAUGUGGAUACAGGAAGAUAAAAGCAUCAGAAACACUGCAUGGGACAAGAAGCUGAGUCUCAGAGAGAGAAAAUGACUCAUCCAAGCAAGGUUUGAGACCUAAGAAAGAAUCAACCUGAAUCAAAUAUAACUAUAGGAGGUGCCUUUUGGACAAUACAGAGGCCAUGCUCAAGGAACACAAAAGGAACUGAAGUUGUGUGGAUUACAAGAGAGUUCGAUGUGUUCUAAAUUCAUUAUGUAGGUAAUGAAUGGGAUCUCGUGAAAAGUGGAACUAAGCCUCUUUGGUAAAGCCUGAAGAGUGGAGUCAAAAGCAAUGAGUAGAAAUCAUUUUACCCAUGCCAUCCACCUACCUAUCUACCCAUACAGACACCCAACAAAUUGUAAAAGAAAAGUAGGCAAUCAGGAUAAUCAGUAGUUUAAUAUGAUUUGGGGGUUCAUUAAAGGCUUUCCUUUAGAAAUCACAUUUAAACUGAGACCUGAAGGAUGGCUUCUGUCGUUAGCCAGAUGAAAAGAGAAGAUAAGCAUUCCAAGCAGAGGGAACAGGAAAGGUGGAAACAAACUGGGCAUAUUCCAGGACGUGGAAGGAAGCAGUAGGUAGCUUAAGUAGCAUGAAGAACACUUACAGAAGAGUUUAGAAUGAAGCAGGAGCCAGACCAUGGAGGUUGUGUAAGCAGAAGCUGGAAGACCCUUGAAAAGAGCAUUCAUUCAAGAAAUGAAGCAUGAGAUAGGAUGGAAGGAGGGAAGAAAGACAAGCAUAUGGCAUAUCAGGUCUCUUCCAGUGCUAAAGGCUGCCUAUGAUACUCAUCUGACCUGAUUUCUCCUGCACAGUGUUGCAACUGACGAGUAGCAGACUUGCCCUUGCCUGCAUUUGGGGGGAUGGCUGAGACUUUCCUUACAGAAAGCCCUACUUUCAGCAUGAACACUAACCCAGUUUAUUGGCUCAGGGUGUAGAGAGUUGCCUUGUCACUGGCGAAGUCAGAUGCAGCCAGUACCAGAGCUCUGCACUAGCUGUGAACACUAAGGAAGAAUAGCUGAGUGAGGAAGCAGAGUGCCAGGCAGCACAUCCUUCUUCAGGUGUUUCCUGCCCUGGGCCAGAUCCCAGGCACUGCAGCAAUAUCUCUGCAUGAUCUAGGGCUCCUGGAAAUAGCCCAUUAAGGGCAAAACUCGCUGCCCAGAAAACAUUAGAACAUUAAAAGAGCAGGGUCUCAUCUGAUUGUCUUGGUUUCCUGAGGCUCAUUCAGUCUGUGUCCACUGGUUUCAGUCUGAGUUCUCUGCACUUUGAGGAUGCAGACAGUGAAGUUCUCCCAUGGUUAUAGGGGGAGAGAUCAUAGGAAUGCUAUGGAAAGAGGCCUGAAGUCAGAGCCAGCUAGUGGUUAUUAUUUAUUAAUUGCCUGUGAGGUGCCAGGCGCACAUAUUAGACCAUAUGUGAUUGCAGUGAGCCACCCGGAUCCCCUUCAAGCUGCUGCUGCAGCUGAUGGAAGUCCUAUUGGCAGACAGCCUUCUCUCAUCAGCCCCUUCAGGACUUGCCUCAGUUGCAGAGAGCUGCCUUCCCCAAGAUCACACCCUUCCCUGGGGACUCACAACCAAUGGCUGAUCCAGAAGAAUCCAUAAAGCCCGUAUCAUUUCAGCCCAAUUUAGGACAGCUUUGUUGAGCCAUUAGACCUACAUGCAGCCCAACCUCUCCUUCUACCCACUUCUUCUUUCUUCCCUUUCCUUCCACGGUGUCUGUUCCAAGCACUUGCCUUAAUAAACAUGUAACAGGUUAAACUCUGUCUCGAUGUCUGCUUCAAGGAGAACCCAACCUGUGACAGUGAUAACAGAUAAAAACAAAGGACAUCACUUUUCCCUGCCUUACUUUCCAUUUACCACUAAAAAGGGUCUUGGACUUGCCCACUCAGUUUCUUCUCUUUCUUCACUCUUUGGAGAUGGUCCCUCCACUACCACAGACACAAAAAAGAAGAGUUGGGAAGAGAGAGGGGUGAAAACAUUUGGGGCACUGCAGGCCUAGUGCUAGGUGACUGAAGACUACCUGGAGGGUGCAGGAAGUGACUGUUUCUCCAUCAUGUAUUGUAUUGCUAUAGUGACUUAAAAAACAAGUAGGUGAUUUGUGUUUUUUUGGUUUUUUUUUGUUUUUUUGGUUUUUUUUUUGAGACAGAGUCUCGCUCUGUCACCCAGGCUGGAGUGCAGUGGCGCUAUCUUGGCUCACUGCAAGCUCCACCUCCUGGGUUCAC
This 2617-nucleotide long non-coding RNA is filed under the name Homo sapiens (human). Its description in RNAcentral is "HSALNT0055395". The record is from RNAcentral. Lineage: Eukaryota; Metazoa; Chordata; Mammalia; Primates; Hominidae.